UACUUCUUUCUUCUUAUGAUUAUUCAGGA
Molecule: non-coding RNA, 29 nt
Filed under: Mus musculus (house mouse)
Lineage: Eukaryota; Metazoa; Chordata; Mammalia; Rodentia; Muridae
Source: RNAcentral